Molecule: ribosomal RNA, 253 nt
Filed under: uncultured bacterium
Lineage: Bacteria
Description: partial 16S ribosomal RNA
Rfam family: Bacterial small subunit ribosomal RNA
Source: RNAcentral
UACGUAGGGGGCUAGCGUUGUCCGGAUUUAUUGGGCGUAAAGAGCGUGUAGGCGGCCAAGCAGGUCCGCUGUGAAAACUCGAGGCUCAACCUCGAGACGUCGGUGGAAACCGUUUGGCUAGAGUCCGGAAGAGGAGAGUGGAAUUCCCGGUGUAGCGGUGAAAUGCGCAGAUAUCAGGAGGAACACCGAUGGCGAAGGCAGGUCUCUGGGCCACUACUGACGCUGAGAAGCGAAAGCAUGGGGAGCGAACAGG